UACGGGGGGGGCAAGCGUUGUUCGGAAUUACUGGGCGUAAAGGGCUCGUAGGCGGCCAACUAAGUCAGACGUGAAAUCCCUCGGCUUAACCGGGGAACUGCAUCUGAUACUGGAUGGCUUGAGUUCGGGAGAGGGAUGCGGAAUUCCAGGUGUAGCGGUGAAAUGCGUAGAUAUCUGGAGGAACACCGGUGGCGAAGGCGGCAUCCUGGACCGACACUGACGCUGAGGCACGAAAGCUAGGGGAGCAAACAGG
Molecule: ribosomal RNA, 253 nt
Filed under: uncultured bacterium
Lineage: Bacteria
Description: partial 16S ribosomal RNA
Rfam family: Bacterial small subunit ribosomal RNA
Source: RNAcentral